This 263-nucleotide ribosomal RNA is filed under the name uncultured bacterium. RNAcentral describes it as "partial 16S ribosomal RNA". It matches the Rfam family "Bacterial small subunit ribosomal RNA", at positions 524 to 786 of the family's 1533-position model. The record is from RNAcentral.
GACGAACUGUCCAAACGUUACUCGGAAUUACUGGGCUUAAAGGGUGCGUAGGCGGCUCAGAAAGUUGGGUGUGAAAGCCCUCGGCUUAACCGAGGAGGGUCGCCCAAAACUACUGAGCUUGAGGAAGACAGAGGUGCGCGGAACUUGCGGUGGAGCGGUGAAAUGCGUUGAUAUCGCAAGGAACACCAGGGGCGAAAGCGGCGCACUGGGUCUUUUCUGACGCUGAGGCACGAAAGCUAGGGGAGCGAAGAGGAUUAGAUACC